CCUACGGGAGGCAGCAGUGGGGGAUAUUGCACAAUGGGGGAAACCCUGAUGCAGCGACGCCGCGUGUGGGAAGACGGUCCUCUGGAUUGUAAACCACUGUCCCCAGGGACGAAGAUGACGUAACCUGGGGAGGAAGCUCCGGCAAACUACGUGCCAGCAGCCGCGGUAAUAGGCAGGGAGCGAGCGUUGUCGGGAAUUACUGGGUGUAAAGGGAGCGGAGGGGGGCCAGCAAGUUGGGGGUAAAAUCUACCGGCUCAACCUGUAGCCGCAUUCAAUACUGCAGUUCUAGAGUGCAGUAGAGGCAGGCGGAAUUCCUAGUGUAGCGGUGAAAUGCGUAGAUAUUAGGAGGAACACCGGUGGCGAAGGCGGCCUACUGGGCUUUUACUGACGCUGAGGCUCGAAAGUGUGGGGAGCAAACAGGAUUAGAUACCCGGGUAGUC
Molecule: ribosomal RNA, 440 nt
Filed under: uncultured bacterium
Lineage: Bacteria
Description: partial 16S ribosomal RNA
Rfam family: Bacterial small subunit ribosomal RNA
Source: RNAcentral